GCGUUCAUCCUAGUGGACAUGGCAUCUGCCUGGUAAACGGAACACUGUGGGUUCGAUUCCCAUCCCUGCACACU
Molecule: transfer RNA, 74 nt
Filed under: Cordylochernes scorpioides
Lineage: Eukaryota; Metazoa; Arthropoda; Arachnida; Pseudoscorpiones; Chernetidae
Description: tRNA-Thr
Source: RNAcentral